Molecule: long non-coding RNA, 533 nt
Organism: Mastomys coucha (southern multimammate mouse)
Lineage: Eukaryota; Metazoa; Chordata; Mammalia; Rodentia; Muridae
Exons: 2
Source: RefSeq, a predicted model, not a curated record
GUCAACAAGACAAACCUAAAACCUAAGCAGAAGACUUCCUAGAACCCCUACACUCGGGGUCCCAAACCUUGAUACCAAAAAGCAUCCCUGCUCUCCCAGGGUGGCACAUCGAUACCUUAUUAGGAAGCCUGUGGAAGGACCUCGGAACGCAAAAACUUGCCUGAGUUCCUGCUUCGGAAUCAUCUGUCUCCCUCCUGCCCCGCCCUUCGGUCCUGUGUUGGGCAGUAUGUGGACGCCGGAGGUGCCCACUCCUUUUAUACAGCUUUGCCCUCUUUUGUUAUCUGGGGUUAAAGUGGGAGUCUGUCGGCCCCUUCCCAGCAAGGGCUUUCUUUACCUCACCCAGCUCUCGCUUCAGUCUUCAGCUUAACUUGUAGCAACCUCCUCUGGUUUCCAGCCCAGGAAGACUUGAGAGGAGUCACGUGGCUAGUGUUUGACCAGUGAAAAGUCGACUUCCCCGAGGGGGUGUGUGAGGGGGAACUUUUGACCAAUAAAAAGCUGGACUUGAGCGCCCAGAGAGGGGAGAGAUCUACGCA